UUGUCUCUUAUGGUUGACCUAUUACUCUCCCACGCGCACUCCCCGCGCGUGUUCUCAAUCCACCGCUUCCUUUCCCUUUCCCUUCCCCCUCAACUCUUGUCUCUGUCACUCUUCUGGGCUUCUCCCGUUCUCUCCAAAAGAGACAAGAGAGAAAGUUCUGAAAGUUGGGGAUUUGAAUUCAAACAUAUAAAACAAGAAUGGUGCUGUGUCUGCAAAUCUGAGAAGAUGAUUGUUCAAGACCACCGUCCCAUGCUUCACUUUAUCAAUUUCAACACAUCUCCCACAAGAUGCAAGGAACCAGUUACAAGAACCUGAAAAUUAGAAACCUCGUAAACUUCCUUAUUACUCGAUCAUGCAUCUAAGCUCGUUGCUAGAGAAGGGUCCGUUUCGGAUGACUUUCCAAGUGUUCGUGGAAUGGUUUUUAAGUACUUACAAAGUCGUUCUAAACAUGUAUGAAAUUUUCGAUCUA
Molecule: long non-coding RNA, 469 nt
Organism: Cucurbita maxima (winter squash)
Lineage: Eukaryota; Viridiplantae; Streptophyta; Magnoliopsida; Cucurbitales; Cucurbitaceae
Exons: 2
Source: RefSeq, a predicted model, not a curated record